RNAcentral lists this ribosomal RNA (484 nucleotides) under uncultured bacterium. RNAcentral describes it as "partial 16S ribosomal RNA". It matches the Rfam family "Bacterial small subunit ribosomal RNA", at positions 30 to 507 of the family's 1533-position model. The record is from RNAcentral.
AUUGAACGCUGGCGGCAGGCCUAACACAUGUAAGUCGAGCGGAUGAAGGGAGCUUGCUCCUGGAUUCAGCGGCGGACGGGUGAGUAAUGCCUAGGAAUCUGCCUGGCAGUGGGGGAUAACGUCCGGAAACGGGCGCUAAUACCGCAUACGUCCUGAGGGAGAAAGUGGGGGAUCUUUGGACCUCACGCUAUCAGAUGAGCCUAGGUCGGAUUAGCUAGCUGGUGGGGUAAAGGCCUACCAAGGCGACGAUCCGUAACUGGUCUGAGAGGAUGAUCAGUCACACUGGAACUGAGACACGGUCCAGACUCCUACGGGAGGCAGCAGUGGGGAAUAUUGGGCAAUGGGCGAAAGCCUGAUCCAGCCAUGCCGCGUGUGUGAAGAAGGUCUUCGGAUUGUAAAGCACUUUAAGUUGGGAGGAAGGGCAGUAAGUUAAUACCUUGCUGUUUUGACGUUACCAACAGAAUAAGCACCGGCUAACUUCGUG